AUUUGCGUGUAAUGCAUACGCCAAAUGCCAUUUUUGCGUGCAUAUGAUACGCCAAUCCUUCCCAUUAAUUUCGGUGGAGAGCAGAUGCGUCCAAAUAACACGCAUCAUCUUCAGCGGCAGUGACGUCACUAGCGAGGCUCGUUCAGUUCACCUGAUGCGCGUACACCUUCAAACAGGUAAGCAAGGUUACGUCGGAUUACAUACUCCACAACAACCUGUAAUCCAGCAGAUCUUUAAAGAAGCCAUCUCUUGUAAAAUCUCUCUCUCUCUCUCUCUCUCUCUCUCUCGCUCUGCUAGAAUUAACAGGGAACUUCAACUCCACGCUCCCAAUGCUGAUAUUGAAGAAGCUGUCAAGGGGGCUGAACAAGUCCUUCAAAGGAUCAACCCUUCACAGGAAGGCCUGUCAUGAGAUUUGAAUUUGACCAUCUUGUGCAUUUAUGAAGAAGACCAAAAGCUGCAAAGGCAAACACUUCCAAUGGAUUUCUCACAGAUUACUUAAUCAUUCUUCAUCAGCUCUUCACAAUAUCAGCCCAUUCAAAAGCUUCCAGAUCUUCCUCUCUUGUGUGACACAUCUGCUCUCAGUCCUUUACUGCCAACCUCCAGUCUUAGCAUUUCUGCUUGUAUUCAUUUUUCCUCUACAUUCAUCACUCCAAUCUCUACUAUAAGCACUCCUGUAUAUAUAUAUAUACACAUAAUAAUUAUUAUUAUUAUUAACCAUUUAUUUGUUUUGCAUUUAUUCACAAUAGAAGCAAACAAUGAUUACAGGAUAUAUGUUUUUAAAGGUGAUAAUUGUAAAAUAUUGGAGCAUUGUUCUUAAUCAUUUUUGCCUAUUUGGUUGAUAAAGGGAAGAAAACAAUAUAUUUUCAACUGUAGCCUUGAUUAUUCUUUGGCAUCUUUUGUCAGGAUUUCUGUAAACAAAUUCCCUUUUUAUUUUUGAAUAUUAAACUUAUGUUUUUUGAAGGGAGUUUCUGUUGCAAUUUUGUUUGUUUGUUUUCACUUAGUUACCUCUAUGCAUUUUUUUUAUUUUUUUUUAUCAACUUUUCUUUUUUUUUCAUAGUGGAAUAAACUGGAGAGAGACUGUUCUGGGCACUAUGUUUAUCUGCGAAAAGUUUGACAUAUCAAUAAACACUGUAAAAUGACUAGACAA
This is a long non-coding RNA of Carassius gibelio (silver crucian carp), 1147 nucleotides long. RefSeq lists it as uncharacterized. NCBI's taxonomy places the organism in Eukaryota, Metazoa, Chordata, Actinopteri, Cypriniformes, Cyprinidae. The record is from RefSeq and is a predicted model, not a curated record. The transcript has 4 exons.